GAAGAUUUAGUUAAAUUAUAACAUUAGAAUGUCAAACUAAAAUUAUUUAUUAUUUAAUCUUCU
RNAcentral lists this transfer RNA (63 nucleotides) under Fuelleborniella sp. FuspCA. Its description in RNAcentral is "tRNA-Asp". Lineage: Eukaryota; Metazoa; Arthropoda; Insecta; Psocodea; Caeciliusidae. The record is from RNAcentral.